This 441-nucleotide ribosomal RNA is filed under the name uncultured bacterium. RNAcentral's name for it is "partial 16S ribosomal RNA". It matches the Rfam family "Bacterial small subunit ribosomal RNA", at positions 338 to 795 of the family's 1533-position model. The record is from RNAcentral.
CCUACGGGAGGCAGCAGUGGGGGAUAUUGCACAAUGGGGGGAACCCUGAUGCAGCGACGCCGCGUGGGUGAAGGAGUGCUUCGGCAUGUAAAGCCCUAUCGGCAGGGAAGAAGCAAGACGGUACCUGACUAAGAAGCCCCGGCUAACUACGUGCCAGCAGCCGCGGUAAUACGUAGGGGGCGAGCGUUAUCCGGAUUCACUGGGUGUAAAGGGAGCGUAGGCGGCCAGGCAAGCCAGUGGUGAAAGCCCGGGGCCCAAGCCCGAGACUGCCCUUGGGACUGGAUGGCGGGAGUGCGGGAGGGGCAGGCGGAAUUCGUGGUGUAGCGGUGAAAUGCGUAGAUAUCAGGAGGAACAGCGAGGGCGAAGGCGGCCUGCUGGACCGCGACUGACGUUGAGGCUCGAAAGUGUGGGGAGCGAACAGGAUUAGAUACCCCGGUAGUC